GAAGUAAAAUGUUAAAUAUUUAAUCUGUGCUUCAUGUUUGUCAGUUAUCGUUAACCUGCUCAAAAAAAAACACAAAUUGUUGCUUAGCAAUCAGUGAAGACGCCCCCCAACACACACACACGCGGGCAACAAAAAGUCAAGCCAGCCCCCAAACAAACGCAAUCAACAACAUCAUCAAUGGUAACUGCGGCGUCAAUAGUUCAGGGAAAGAUAAACCAAGACAGGCGGACAGACAGUCUUGUCAGACGAAUGAAUGGAUGAAUGGAUGGAUGGAUGGAUGGAUGGAUGGAUGGAUGGAUAGACGGUUGAAUGGAUGGACCAAGAAGUAGUCAAGCUGCUAACGAUUAUUUAAAAUGGGUGGCAACGCCAACGAGCAUACAAACAAGACCGUGAGGAGUUUGUCUAGCAUCAGGUUGCCGCUCACGGGGCGUAUGCGCAACGCUGGUUUAGCAUCGUUGGGCGGUCUCAAAAGUUGCAGAAGAAAAGUUCCAAGAAAUUUAAUUUAUAUUUUCUGCUUUUUUCGGAUUUAAUUUUCUUAAAUAUUUCACCUGUGGUUUACGUUUCAUCAAGGUGUAACUAAGACCCACACACACGCAUCCGCUGCGUAUACGUAAUCUGUGGCAUGCCGUAGCCGCAACGUUAACAGAGGGGCUCCACUUGAGAUGUACUUUUCAAGCUUGCAACAAUUUCCGAAGAUUCCAACCUUGGCAAUACUCCUUUUUUUUCCAUCUUUGUUGUUCUUGAUGUUCAACCUCGUAUCUAUGUCUGGCAUCUAGUAAACGCUUGCCGUAAAUAUAGCCAUUUAUGAUUUGCUUAAACAACCAAAAGCAGCAAAACACGUAAGAAAUUGCCAAUACAAAAAUAUCAGUUUCAACCUGUACAAAUUGUGCUCUAAGGUUGGAGGAUUAUCCUUGAGCGAAUGCAGAAUCCUAAUUGAAAAGAAUUCAUCUCGAAUGCAAAUUUUUAAAAUGUAUUGGCAAUUUAAAAGGAUUUUAUUGCUAUGAUUGGAUUUUCAUCUUGUUAUUUUUGCCAUUUGUAAGCCGCUUUUCAUUUGUUGUUGCACUUGCACUUAUGUAAGUUAUUUUUCGAUUAUUAAAUUUAUAAUAUUGAGUUGAACAGCAAAAUGAUAUCAUGCUUUGAAUUGAAUCGGUUAUUGGCCUCUAUUGCCCCCUAUUAAACGCAAUUGUGCUCUGAUGCACGUUGAACUAAAGUACAGACAAGCAUAUAUACGUUGUAUUCCCUAUAAAUUGGUGUACAUUU
Drosophila sulfurigaster albostrigata is the source of this 1260-nucleotide long non-coding RNA. RefSeq lists it as uncharacterized. NCBI's taxonomy places the organism in Eukaryota, Metazoa, Arthropoda, Insecta, Diptera, Drosophilidae. The record is from RefSeq and is a predicted model, not a curated record. The transcript is spliced from 3 exons.